Long non-coding RNA from Alligator mississippiensis (American alligator), 2571 nucleotides. RefSeq lists it as uncharacterized. The record is from RefSeq and is a predicted model, not a curated record. NCBI's taxonomy places the organism in Eukaryota, Metazoa, Chordata, Crocodylia, Alligatoridae. The transcript is spliced from 3 exons.
ACGCGCAGAGCGGCGGAGCCCGCCACAUCCGCUACCAUCCAGGAGCGGGGGGCCGCAGCACUGCACCGUAUUCCAUAGAAGAGCUCCUCGGCACGGGUACCUUUCAGCAAAGGAGCAUGAAGAUGGGAGGAAGGAAGACUAUCCAGAGCACAACUCUGCUUCAGAGAUUCUGGGCUGUUGAAGUAGCCCAUGCAAUUGUGAAUUAAUUGGAGUGCUAUGUUUGGAUCCCAUCACCAAUGCUAUAAAUGCAUCAUGAGCAGGUCCAAGGAGGUGAUCCUCCCCCUCUAUGCAACACUGGUCAGGCCACAGUUGGAGUACUGCAUCCAGUUCCGGGCACCGCACUUCAGGGGGGAUGUGGCCAGCAUCAAGAGGCUCCAGAGGAGGGCGACUCACAUCAUCAGGGGGCAGCAGGGCACACGCUACGAGGAGAAGCCAUGGGACCGGAACCUGUUCAGCCUCCACAAGAGAAGGCUGAGAGGGGAAUCUAGUGGCUAUCUAUAAACGUACUAGGGGGGACCAUAGGGGAAUGGGAGCAAUCCUGUUCCCCCAAGCACCUCCCAGAGUAACAAGGAAUAACAGCCAUAAGUUGUUUGAGAGUACAUUCAGGCUAGACAUCAGGAGGCACUAUUUCACAGUCAGGGCAGCUAGGAUCUGGAAAAAGCUUCCAAGGGAAGUGGUGUUGACUCCUACCUUAAGGGUCUUUAAAAGGAGGCUUGAUAAUUACCGAGCUGGGGUCGCAUGAGCUUAGACUUACCAGGAGUCAUAUGAGACCAGUAUUCAUUCCUGUCCAGGGUGGGUUGGACUUGAUGAUCUGCUCAGGUCCCUUGCAACACUACAUCUAUGAACCUAUGAACCUAUAGGCAUGAGCGCCAGCGGGGAGGUCUCUAAAGUAGUAAAAGUUUGUCAGACACCCUUGCCCAGUGCACUGAGUGACUGAGCACCAGUCUUUUCUUAUACUAGCAUAGUUUCUCAGAAAGCCCUCUCAGUGAGUUUCUGCUUUCAGACUCAAUAACAUAAAUAGAAGAAAUAAGCAGCACACUGAGCAAAUCUGUCCUGCAACUUAAUUUUUUUCUAUUUAUCUCUAAUUUUUCCUUCUAUAAAGUCAGUUUAUUUGGUGAGGCUGAUAGAUGGCUCUUUUAUCUCACAGUAAAAAAAAACCCAAUAAGAUCUAAUGGUUGCAAGAUAAAGCCAGACUAAUUUAUAAAUAAUCUAUUUUAAUCUGUUUAAUGAAUUUUAAUAGAGAAGAUAAACUGUGCUAGGACAAACUACCUAAGGAUAUGUUGGAUUAUCCAUCACUGAAGCCUUUAAAUUGAAUUAAUUUUUUUUUAAUGUUAUAAUUUAAACAGAAGUUAUGAACUUGAUGCAAAAAUUACAGCAUAAAAUCCUGUGGUCUGCGGUAUACAGAGGGUCUGAUUAGAUUAUUGCAAUGUACCCUCUGGGCCUUAAAGUCUUACAGUCUAUAAAGUUAUUCACCAGCUGUCUUCAGCGUUGGUAAUCCUCUUCAUCCAGGUGCUGGAAGUAAUGUUAGAUGACAUAAAAAUGUAUACCUUUUGCACCAUUUUCAAGGACAAGACUAGACAUAUCAGAUGUCUACUCAAACCAUAUAGUAAAACUUCAGACAGAUUUAAUGUCAUAGAUUACUAAAAGGUUUUCAAUAGAGUUUCAAGAUUAAUUUAUUGCUUUAGUUGGGCUUCAUUGCACUGAUUGUGGCUUGAGUCUUUGAAGAACAACCUGUUUUUGGAACUUCUGAAAAUGUGGAUUUUGUUUUGUUCUACAUUAGUGAGUUAAGGUGAAUGUCAUACUGGGUCAGACAACUGGUCCAUCCUGGUUCUCCAAGUGACAAAGAGCAGAUGCUAAAGGAAAGAAUAUUUAUGUAAAGCAGUGGUUCCCAACCCCGGGUCACAACCCAAAUGAGGGUCGCAGGGGCAAUCCUGGCAACGCUGCGCAGAAAAGAUGAGCUUCCCCGCCCCAACCCCUGAGCCGCCACUACCGCAAUCUGCUUCCAGUACUGGGGCGCAGAAAAAAAAAGGGUGGGAGCCACUGAUGCAAAGUCCAUCCAAACUAAUCUGUCCCCUGCCUUUCCCCACCUACAACACAGCACUCACAGCCAAAGUCCUAGGUUGCCUGCAGUCCCCACUUUUGUUCAUAUGUCAAGUCUCUGUAGAUGAGUGUGUCUUCUAUCAUGUUUAAUAACCGUUGACUGAUCUAUGCUCCAUUAAUCUGUCCAAUCUCCAUCUGAACCUGCUUAAAUUACCAGCCUCCACAAUUAUAAUUGACUAUGGGAUUUAAUGUAAUAUUUCUGUUUUAAAUGUAUUCAUAUUGCUAUAAUGUACAUGACUCAGUUUACCAAUAAAGCUAGUACAUGGGGAAAGAAUGGGUUAAGGGGACAAUGAAGCCAGAGUUGCUGACCCCUGCCUGGCAGAAGAUGCAUCCAUCUACAGCAGUGGUGGGCAAAAUACAACUUGUGGGAUCUGGCCUGCAGGUGGUUGAUGACUCUGGUUGCCCAUGGUGCUGAGCAGGCAGCAAUGCUUUUUUUUUUUUUCCCCCAAUAAAUGCCUGUACUGAACUGGA